GACGUAGGGCGCGAGCGUUGUCCGGAUUUAUUGGGCGUAAAGAGCUCGUAGGCGGCUUGUCGCGUCGUCCGUGAAAACUUGGGGCUCAACCCCAAGCUUGCGGUCGAUACGGGCAGGCUAGAGUUCGGUAGGGGAGACUGGAAUUCCUGGUGUAGCGGUGAAAUGCGCAGAUAUCAGGAGGAACACCGGUGGCGAAGGCGGGUCUCUGGGCCGUACCUGACACUAAAACGCGACAGCAUGGGGAGCGAACGGG
Molecule: ribosomal RNA, 253 nt
Filed under: uncultured bacterium
Lineage: Bacteria
Description: partial 16S ribosomal RNA
Rfam family: Bacterial small subunit ribosomal RNA
Source: RNAcentral